Molecule: long non-coding RNA, 1218 nt
Organism: Cyprinus carpio (common carp)
Lineage: Eukaryota; Metazoa; Chordata; Actinopteri; Cypriniformes; Cyprinidae
Source: Ensembl
AUGUCGGUACUCGUCUGCUGCCUCCUCCUUUGGAGUUGGAAGGUUCUGAGAAUAACAAUGAAUCAAUCUUUUGUUUUAGUCUUAAAAUGCUUGUUCUGUAACACUUCGAUUGAUGGCAUUGGGACAUGUUGGCCCAGGAGCAGUGCUGGAGAAGUGGUGUCCCGUCCCUGUCCAGAGACCUUCCUCGGAGUCCGUUACAACACAACCAAUAACGUGUACAGAGAAUGCCUUGCCAAUGGCACCUGGGCGAAGAAGGGAAACUACUCCCAAUGUCAGGAAAUCCUCAACGAGGAGAAGAGCAAGCUGCAUUACCACAUUGCAGUCAUCAUAAACUACCUGGGACAUUGUAUCUCUCUGGGAGCCCUGCUGGUCGCCUUCAUCCUCUUCAUGAGACUCAGGAGUAUCCGGUGUCUGAGAAAUAUCAUCCACUGGAACCUGAUUACAGCAUUUAUCCUGCGAAAUGCCACCUGGUUCGUGGUGCAGCUCACUAUGAACCCAGAGGUGCAUGAGAGCAAUGUGAUCUGGUGCAGGCUGGUCACAGCAGCAUAUAAUUAUUUCCAUGUGACCAACUUCUUCUGGAUGUUUGGAGAGGGCUGCUAUCUGCACACAGCCAUAGUACUGACAUACUCCACCGACAAACUGAGGAAAUGGAUGUUCAUUUGUAUAGGCUGGUGUAUUCCAUUCCCCAUUAUCGUCGCUUGGGCCAUUGGCAAGCUGUACUAUGACAAUGAAAAGUGCUGGUUUGGGAAGCGGGCCGGCAUUUACACUGAUUAUAUUUAUCAGGGGCCCAUGAUCCUGGUCCUGCUGAUUAACUUCAUUUUUCUCUUCAACAUUGUGAGGAUCCUGAUGACUAAACUGAGGGCCUCCACUUUUUUUUAUUUUUAUUUUUAUCCUACUGAGAAAGCAGUAAAGGCCACACUGGUUCUUCUGCCGCUGCUGGGCAUCACUUACAUGCUGUUCUUCGUCAACCCAGGCGAGGAUGAGAUCUCACAGAUUGUCUUCAUCUACUUUAAUUCUUUCCUAGAGUCCUUUCAGGGCUUUUUUGUGUCAGUGUUCUACUGCUUUUUGAACAGUGAGGUACGCUCAGCCGUUCGUAAGCGGUGGCACCGCUGGCAGGAUAAGCACUCCAUUCGGGCACGGGUGGCACGGGCCAUGUCUAUUCCCACCUCUCCAACACGGGUCAGUUUCCACAGCAUCAAGCAGUCGUCGGCAGUCUGA